This is a long non-coding RNA of Cydia fagiglandana, 558 nucleotides long. RefSeq lists it as uncharacterized. The transcript is spliced from 2 exons. The record is from RefSeq and is a predicted model, not a curated record. NCBI's taxonomy places the organism in Eukaryota, Metazoa, Arthropoda, Insecta, Lepidoptera, Tortricidae.
UAGAUGUAAGUAAAUUGAGGUAGAUAUGGUACCAGGCGCACGGUCGUGAGCCAUUAAAUAUAGGUUCCGGAACCUAUAUUUAGUUAGUCGUAUGGGUGACGCCAACCUGUCAAGUUGUCAAAAUCGUUGGAUCAAAUUUUAGUUUUGUCAACUAUGAACGUGACACGUCUACAUAAAUAAAAGGUCAUUGGGGUUAAAGCAUAAUUUUUUCGCUGGAUCCUUAUGGACAUGUUAAAACUUUCUACCUAGGUACUUCUUAAAAGCAGCAUGAUGAGAUUGAUGAGAGACUUACGAGUAGUAAAAUGUAUCCAAAUCGUUACCUUAAUGUCCACGGCAAAUAUGCCCAUUUUAUGCCAAUUGGUGAUUUAAUAAUGUAUAAGAAAAUAGCCGAUUUACAAAAUUAUGUAUUUAAAUAUGUUAAAUUAACAUCACUUUUAUUUUAAUCUUAUUUAUUUUAUACAAAGCUCACAAAACAUUUUAUUCUACGUGAAAAAAUAUUAUAUUUAAUUAAUAUAUAUUAUUUACUUACAUGUUGAAAGAUUAUUUUAAAAUCCAUUU